UUAGCAAUAUCAAAUGCAUAGACACAUAAGUUCACUGGCUAUUUGUGAAAUGUUUACGUAAGAGUUAAAUUAGCUUUUUCAGAUUUGCAUUCUUUGCCUAUAUCGUCUCUGUCAACAGCUCCUGGGGAAGACAUGUUCAGAAUGCCUAGAUAUGUCCAUCCUCGAAUCCUAUUCCAUGACAAGUGCUAGGAUAAUCUCAUGGCGUGGAUGAAGAAGAUGGGGAUCUUUGGCAUAGGUUGAUGGAAUUGAGAGCCUAACCGCUAAGCUGACGAAACCUCUUCACUAAGCUCCAGAUCCAUUCAUCAUUCCCCAAACUAAUAUUUUUCUGGUUCUUGUGUUUGGUGAUGUGUUCUUCUGAUCGACUACAUGAUCCUGUAUUUCUGUAUUAAGUUCCUUGAUGAGUUUAUCAAAACAAUGCAAUUUUAUAAAAUAUAUUUUUCCAUCGCUUUUGCUUGCAGAGCGCAAAUAAGGAAUCAAAAGGAGGUACUUUACAGGUUGCCAAAACUGAAGAUAUAAAGGCCGGGGUGAUUUGGGAGAUACGAAGCAAAUUGUUGUGUCCUUCAUCAACUGAAAGGUAUGUUGCCUGUAGCUCAUGGUUUACAUAGCAAUGUAUAUUUAUAAUUUUGUUUGGGGAUUGAUGUUGUGAUGCAAUUCAUGUGCAUGAUCUCCUGCACUUUACAUCCAUUUAAUAUAUAAAGGUGGGUACAUAUAUCUAAUUGAUAGUUCUAUAGUCUCGGCGGGUACACUUUGUGGUGAAGUCCUUUCAGUUCAUAUUUUA
Molecule: long non-coding RNA, 778 nt
Organism: Lolium rigidum
Lineage: Eukaryota; Viridiplantae; Streptophyta; Magnoliopsida; Poales; Poaceae
Exons: 3
Source: RefSeq, a predicted model, not a curated record